Molecule: transfer RNA, 65 nt
Filed under: Psylliodes chlorophana
Lineage: Eukaryota; Metazoa; Arthropoda; Insecta; Coleoptera; Chrysomelidae
Also listed under: 1 other name
Description: tRNA-Asp
Rfam family: tRNA
About the family: Transfer RNA (tRNA) molecules are approximately 80 nucleotides in length. Their secondary structure includes four short double-helical elements and three loops (D, anti-codon, and T loops).
Source: RNAcentral
AAAAAUUUAGUUAAAUUCAUAACGUUAGUUUGUCAAACUAAAAUUAUUAUUAAUAAUAAUUUUUA